This 244-nucleotide ribosomal RNA is filed under the name uncultured Staphylococcus sp. RNAcentral's name for it is "partial 16S ribosomal RNA". It matches the Rfam family "Bacterial small subunit ribosomal RNA", at positions 96 to 334 of the family's 1533-position model. Lineage: Bacteria; Bacillati; Bacillota; Bacilli; Caryophanales; Staphylococcaceae. The record is from RNAcentral.
CGGCGGACGGGUGAGUAACACGUGGAUAACCUACCUAUAAGACUGGGAUAACUUCGGGAAACCGUAGCUAAUACCGGAUAAUAUAUUGAACCGCAUGGUUCAAUAGUGAAAUACGGUUUUGCUGUCACUUAUAGAUGGAUCCUCGCCGCAUUAGCUAGUUGGUAAGGUAACGGCUUACCAAGGCAACGAUGCGUAGCCGACCUGAGAGGGUGAUCGGCCACACUGGAACUGAGACACGGUCCAG